GUGAAUCAUCAAAUCUUUGAACGCAAAUUGCACUCUCCGGUUUUCCGGGAGAGUAUGCCUGUUUGAGGGUCAGCCUAAAUAAAAUCGGCUUAGUAGUUUGCUGUGUUUUUCAGGGUAAGUUGGGUGGGAAUUGGGUUCAUCUUAAACGGAAGGGUUUUUAACCGAUUAAAAUUUUUCUAAGAAUUUCGCGAAGGUUUCUAAG
RNAcentral lists this unclassified non-coding RNA (202 nucleotides) under Glomus sp. RNAcentral describes it as "partial contains 5.8S ribosomal RNA and internal transcribed spacer 2". The stretch from base 1 to 72 matches the Rfam family "5.8S ribosomal RNA", at positions 84 to 154 of the family's 154-position model. Lineage: Eukaryota; Fungi; Glomeromycota; Glomeromycetes; Glomerales; Glomeraceae. The record is from RNAcentral.